CCCUGCUAGGGCCACUGCAACUCCCUUCUAGGGUUUGAGAAUCGCCGCGCUUCCCAUAGUAUUGAAUUUUUCUUCACCCGCUUCAUCACUCUUCUCUGUAUACCCAGCUUCAUUCAUUAUUUUGCCGUUCAGAUGGCCAUGGAGGUUACUCAAAUUCUUCUAAAUGCGCAAGCAGUGGAUGGCAGUGUACGGAAACAAGCUGAAGAAAAUUUAAAACAGUUUCAAGAACAGAAUCUUCCAAGUUUUUUGUUUUCUCUUGCCGGGGAACUGGCAAAUGAUGAGAAACCUGCAGAGAGUCGGAAGCUUGCAGGUUUAGUUCUUAAGAAUGCCCUGGAUGCAAAAGAACAGCAUAGAAAGAUAGAGCUUGUCCAGAGAUGGUUAUCAUUGGACUCAACAGUAAAAGCACAGAUUAAAGGAUUCUUGUUGAGGACCCUUUCCUCCCCUUCUCUGGAUGCUCGAUCAACUGCUGCACAAGUUGUUGCAAAGGUUGCUGGUAUUGAGUUGCCACACAAGCAAUGGCCUGAGUUGAUAGAAUCUCUCUUGUCUAAUAUUCCUCAACAUCCUGCUCCUACAAGGCAGGCAACGCUGGAGACUCUUGGGUACGUCUGUGAAGAAGUUUCCCCAGAUGUGGUGGAUCAGGACCAUGUAAACAAGAUACUCACGGCUGUUGUUCAGGGCAUGAAUUCUUCUGAGACUAACAAUGAUGUCAGACUUGCUGCAAUUCAAGCCCUAUACAAUGCCUUGGGCUUUGCUCAAGCAAAUUUUUCAAAUGAUAUGGAGCGUGACUACAUCAUGAGAGUUGUCUGUGAGGCUACCCUUUCCCCUGAAUUGAGGAUUCGACGUGCAGCUUUUGAGUGUUUGGUUGCCAUUGCAUCAACCUACUAUGAAAAGUUGGCUCCUUAUAUGCAGGACAUAUUCAAUAUUACUGCCAAGGCUGUGAAAGAAGAUGAGGAGCCAGUUGCACUUCAGGCUGUUGAGUUUUGGAGUUCAAUAUGCGAUGAAGAAAUAGAUAUAUUAGAAGAAUAUGGAGGAGAUUUUAGUGGCGAUUCUGAUAUUUCUUGCUUUUAUUUUAUUAAGCAGGCACUUCCAGCUCUUGUUCCCAUGUUAUUGGAGACACUAUUAAAGCAAGAAGAGGACCAAGAUCAGGAUGAAGGGGCAUGGAACAUAGCUAUGGCUGGAGGCACAUGUCUGGGCUUGGUUGCUCGGACAGUUGGUGAUGAUAUUGUGCCCUUAAUUAUGCCAUUCAUUGAAGAGAAUAUAACAAAACCAGAUUGGAGGCAAAGGGAGGCUGCCACAUAUGCCUUUGGCUCUAUUCUUGAGGGUCCAUCACCUGAUAAACUUGUGCCACUUGUAAAUGUUGCUUUGAACUUUAUGCUCACUGCAUUAAUGAAAGAUCCAAAUAAUCAUGUAAAAGAUACUACUGCCUGGACUCUUGGACGAAUGUUUGAAUUUUUGCAUGGCUCAGCUCUCGAAACACCAAUUAUCACCCAAGCUAAUUGCCAACAGAUUAUUACAGUCUUGCUUCAAAGCAUGAAAGAUGUUCCGAAUGUUGCUGAGAAGGCAUGUGGAGCUCUUUAUUUUCUUGCCCAAGGUUAUGAGGAUGCUGGAUCUUCUUCCUCUCCAUUGACACCCUAUUUUCAAGAUAUUGUCCAAGCCCUUCUUACUGUCACUCAUAGAGAGGAUGCUGGAGAAUCACGCCUUCGAACGGCGGCCUAUGAAGCCUUAAAUGAAGUUGUGAGGUCUACUGCUGAUGAAUCAGCUCCGACAGUGGUACAAUUAGUUCCCCUCAUCGUGAUGGAGCUCCACCAGUAUCUUGAGAAACAAAACCUUUCCACUGAUGAGAGGCAAAAUGAGCUACCAGGCCUUCUUUGUGGUUGCUUGCAGGUCCUCAUACAAAAGUUAGGUUCAUAUGAGCCAACAAAAUUUCACUUCAUGCAGUAUGCUGACCAAAUGAUGGCCUUGUUCCUAAGAGUGUUUGCUUCUCGAAGUGCCACAGCACUUGAGGAAGCUAUGCUUGCAAUUGGAGCUCUGGCUUAUGCUUCGGGCCCAGAUUUUGCUAAAUACAUGCCUGAAUUUUACAAGUAUCUGGAGAUGGGACUCCAAAAUUUUGAGGACUACCAGGUUUGUGCUAUCACAGUGGGCGUGGUUGGUGAUGUAUGCAGGGCCUUGGAGGAAAAGAUUUUGCCUUAUUGUGAUGGGAUAAUGACCCAACUUCUGAAGGAUUUGUCAAGUAACCAGUUGCAUCGAUCUGUAAAGCCUCCUAUAUUUUCAUGUUUUGGGGAUAUUGCUUUGGCAAUUGGUGAAAACUUUGAGAAAUACUUGUUAUAUGCUAUGCCUAUGCUUCAGAGUGCUGCUGAGCUAUCUGCUCACACAUCGGGUGCUGAUGAUGAUAUGAUAGAGUACACAAAUUCUUUGAGAAAUGGAAUCUUGGAGGCAUACUCUGGGAUCUUCCAAGGGUUUAAGGGCUCCCCGAAGACUCAACUCUUGAUGCCCUAUGCUCCUUAUAUACUACAGUUUUUGGAUAGUUUGUACAUGGCAAAGGACAUGGAUGAUGUUGUUACAAAGACAGCUAUUGGGGUGCUUGGAGAUUUAGCUGAUACGUUGGGCAGUAGUGCUGGCCCCUUGAUUCAGCAAUCUGUGUCCAGCAAAGAUUUCCUCAAAGAGUGCUUGUCAUCGGAUGAUCAUUUGAUUAAGGAAUCAGCCGAAUGGGCCAAGUUGGCUAUCAGUCGAUCCAUAUCAUUUUGAGAAAAUAUGGAGUUUUUCAUACAGGAAGAGAAACAGGGCUAACAGUGAGGAUGGACCAAAAUGGUUUGCAAGGAGAAAUAUUGUGUACAUUUCCCUUGGAUGUGAUUGCUGCUGUUCAAGAUCACGCAGAUUUCACGACUGGCUUCAAGACACUUCUUUAUCUUGGUGUUACGAUGACUGUAAGGAUCUAUCAUGAAGCCUUGCAUUUUUCAUUUUCUGGGAAGUUAUAUAAUUUCUGGGAAGUUGAAAGGUGAUGCUUUAUGGGGGAAACUAAUGGCGAUGGAAGUAAUAAAAGGAAUUCAAUGAAACUACAUUGUUCAUCUGUUUCAAAGAGAAAUUAAAAAGAAUUAGAGGGCCUUCAUUGUUGAUGUUAUUUUGCUUGAUGCUUUAGUAUUACUUUAGUACCUUCCCUGCAGUAUUUAAUGAUAAAUAUAAUUAUUGCUAGGGGAAGGAUGGGGUAUUUUCUUUUGUAUGAUACUAUUAUGAAUUAUAAAUUUAAAUAUUAAGACUUCAA
RNA transcript from Neltuma alba, 3259 nucleotides. It is a transcript of the gene named importin subunit beta-1-like, with no coding region annotated. NCBI's taxonomy places the organism in Eukaryota, Viridiplantae, Streptophyta, Magnoliopsida, Fabales, Fabaceae. The transcript is spliced from 5 exons. The record is from RefSeq and is a predicted model, not a curated record.